AAAUUUCAGAGACAGAAGAAAUCUUCCUUUGAGGGCAGUGAUACACUUAUGUGAGAUUUUGAAAAGUGAAAAAUCAAAGGUGGAAUUGACCAAUAGAUGUAAAAGUACAACAAAUAAACAAAAAUGGCAAUGUUGAAAGUGAAACUGAAAUUCAACAGAAAUAAAAGAAAUAGCAGACUGGGGGGAUAUUGACUUUGACACCAUGAUGCCAGAGGAACUUAGUAAUGGCAAACUUAUCAAUAUAAAAUGAGGAUAUUGGUUGUCAACUAGGUUGUGUGGUGGUCCUUGAUCUUGUCCAUCAAGUCCUUUUUCCCAAAGGAUAACUGAAGAAGAUCACAUACAUUCCAACUUAUUGAGUCUGAUAGGUAUUCAUCUGAUGAGCUCCUCUUCAACUGAGGAUUGAAAUGCUGUUUUUCUUCCCUGGUACAAUGUUAAAGCUUUAAACUCUCGUCAAUGAUGUGAUGUUUCAUCUGCAAUGAUCUACACUAGAAAAAUAAAGAUGUAGUUACUGACAAAAAAGCAGGAACUACUGCUCUAAGGAAAAAAAGGAGAGCUACAUGAGGACCACACAACUCCUGGAAGAGGUUUCCCUGGCAACACAACUUUUCCAUUCCUCUGGUUGCAGUGUUUUCAUCCAGUAGCCUGUCACCUCACUCAAAAGCAGGGCAAUGGAGAGAAAGAAACUUAUCAAGUUUUUUCUUUUAACUAGAGAGUAGCCUACUUAUUGGGUCCUGCAAUUAAUUUCAGUACUCCUGGCAGAUUUAUAAAGGAAGCUGCUGGAAGGAAUUCAUUCCCUUUUUGCUGUUCUGCCUUCCACCUUCCACUGUGUGAGGACACUGCAAGAAAGCCCUCAUCAGACACCAACCGCCAGCACCUAGAUCUUGGAAUUCUCAGCCUCCAGAACUGUGAGAAAUACGUUUCUAUUUUUCUAUAAAAUAAUAAUAAAAAAAACUUCCAUGCAGGAAAAAAAAAUCAAGUUCAAAGGUCCUGUGGUGAGGGCAUGCCAGCUUUGUUUGAGAAGCAGUAAUCAUGCCUGUGUGACUGUAAUGAAAGAAUAAAAGAGAAAUGAGCACAGAAGAAUAUAA
RNAcentral lists this long non-coding RNA (1085 nucleotides) under Pan troglodytes (chimpanzee). Its description in RNAcentral is "lincRNA". Lineage: Eukaryota; Metazoa; Chordata; Mammalia; Primates; Hominidae. The record is from RNAcentral.